This 433-nucleotide long non-coding RNA is filed under the name Mytilus galloprovincialis (Mediterranean mussel). The record is from RNAcentral. Lineage: Eukaryota; Metazoa; Mollusca; Bivalvia; Mytilida; Mytilidae.
CUCUUUUAGAAAAGUUGUUUAAAAUAUGAUGUAACUCUCCUCUUUUUGAGUACCAAAUUUUAAGUUUUCAAAGGUUUUGUAUAGAAGAACUUUACAAAUCCUUGGUAUUUCUAUUUUCUUUUCUACAUCAGUAAAAUGACCCCUUGUCUGAGGGAGGGUUGUUCUCAACCUGACAAUAACAAACACAGGUCAAAGUACGGCCUUUUACACAGGGCUUUGAUACAGACCAAACAGCAAGCUAUAAAGGAUCCCAAAAUUAUUAGCGUACACAAUUCGAACAGGAAAACCAACGAUCUAAUUUAUAUAUCCAAACGGGAAAAUACCGGCAAUGAACAACAUCAACAAACGAUAACUGCUGAACGACAGGCCCCUGAAUCAAUCAGGACAGGUGCAUAACAUGCAGCGGCUAUAGAUAGUUUUGUUUUGCCAACAU